RNAcentral lists this ribosomal RNA (301 nucleotides) under uncultured bacterium. Its description in RNAcentral is "partial 16S ribosomal RNA". It matches the Rfam family "Bacterial small subunit ribosomal RNA", at positions 509 to 809 of the family's 1533-position model. The record is from RNAcentral.
CAGUCGCCGCGGGAAUACGGAGGGUGCAAGCGUUAAUCGGAAUUACUGGGCGUAAAGCGCACGCAGGCGGUUUGUUAAGUCAGAUGUGAAAUCCCCGAGCUUAACUUGGGAACUGCAUUUGAAACUGGCAAGCUAGAGUCUUGUAGAGGGGGGUAGAAUUCCAGGUGUAGCGGUGAAAUGCGUAGAGAUCUGGAGGAAUACCGGUGGCGAAGGCGGCCCCCUGGACAAAGACUGACGCUCAGGUGCGAAAGCGUGGGGAGCAAACAGGAUUAGAUACCCGUGUAGUCCCUGUCUCUUAUAA